This 716-nucleotide small RNA is filed under the name Pan troglodytes (chimpanzee). Its description in RNAcentral is "processed transcript". Lineage: Eukaryota; Metazoa; Chordata; Mammalia; Primates; Hominidae. The record is from RNAcentral.
GGUUUUUCAAACUGAUGUGCUUUAUUUAAAAUUCAAACGGUGUGAAGGGAGACCUGCUGAUUGACAUCGGCUCUGGCCCCACUAUCUAUCAGCUCCUCUCCGCUUGUGAAUCCUUUAAGGAGAUCGUCGUCACUGACUACUCAGACCAGAACCUGCAGGAGCUGGAGAAGUGGCUGAAGAAAGAGCCAGAGGCCUUUGACUGGUCCCCAGUGGUGACCUAUGUGUGUGAUCUUGAAGGGAACAGAGUCAAGGGUCCAGAGAAGGAGGAGAAGUUGAGACAGGCGGUCAAGCAGGUGCUGAAGUGUGAUGUGACUCAGAGCCAGCCACUGGGGGCCGUCCCCUUACCCCCGGCUGACUGCGUGCUCAGCACACUGUGUCUGGAUGCCGCCUGCCCAGACCUCCCCACCUACUGCAGGGCGCUCAGGAACCUCGGCAGCCUACUGAAGCCAGGGGGCUUCCUGGUGAUCAUGGAUGCGCUGAAGAGCAGCUACUACAUGAUUGGUGAGCAGAAGUUCUCCAGCCUCCCCCUGGGCCGGGAGGCAGUAGAGGCUGCUGUGAAAGAGGCUGGCUACACAAUCGAAUGGUUUGAGGUGAUCUCGCAAAGUUAUUCUUCCACCAUGGCCAACAACGAAGGACUUUUCUCCCUGGUGGGGAGGAAGCUGAGCAGACCCCUGUGAUGCCUGUGACUUCAAUUAAAGCAAUUCCUUUGACCUGUC